UGCCAGCCGCCGCGGUAAGACGGGAGAUGCAAGCGUUAUUCGGAUUUAUUGGGCGUAAAGGGUCUGUAGGUUGUUGGUUAAGUCUAUGGUCAAAUUCCGAAGCUCAACUUCGGGCCGGCACUAGAAACUAAUCAACUUGAGUACGUUAGAGGCAGGGGGAAUUCCCAGUGUAGCGGUGAAAUGCGUAGAUAUUGGGAGGAACAUCAAUGGCGAAGGCACCCUGCUAGGCCGAUACUGACACUGAAAGACGAAAGCUAGGGGAGCAAAUGGGAUUAGAUA
Molecule: ribosomal RNA, 279 nt
Filed under: uncultured bacterium
Lineage: Bacteria
Description: partial 16S ribosomal RNA
Rfam family: Bacterial small subunit ribosomal RNA
Source: RNAcentral